Molecule: ribosomal RNA, 274 nt
Filed under: uncultured bacterium
Lineage: Bacteria
Description: partial 16S ribosomal RNA
Rfam family: Bacterial small subunit ribosomal RNA
Source: RNAcentral
GUACGGAGGAUCCAAGCGUUAUCCGGAAUCAUUGGGUUUAAAGGGUCCGUAGGUGGACAGAUAAGUCAGAGGUGAAAUCCUGCAGCUCAACUGUCGAAUUGCCUUUGAAACUGUUUGUCUGGAGUCAUUGUGAAGUGGUUAGAAUGUGUAGUGUAGCGGUGAAAUGCAUAGAUAUUACACAGAAUACCGAUUGCGAAGGCAGAUCACUAAUAAUGUACUGACACUGAUGGACGAAAGCGUGGGUAGCGAACAGGAUUAGAAACCCUAGUAGUCC